Molecule: ribosomal RNA, 407 nt
Filed under: uncultured bacterium
Lineage: Bacteria
Description: bacterial SSU rRNA
Rfam family: Bacterial small subunit ribosomal RNA
Source: RNAcentral
UGGGGAAUAUUGGACAAUGGACCAAGAGUCUGAUCCAGCAAUUCUGUGUGCACGAUGAAGUUUUUCGGAAUGUAAAGUGCUUUCAGUUGGGAAGAAAAAAAUGACGGUACCAACAGAAGAAGUGACGGCUAAAUACGUGCCAGCAGCCGCGGUAAUACGUAUGUCACGAGCGUUAUCCGGAUUUAUUGGGCGUAAAGCGCGUCUAGGUGGUUAUGUAAGUCUGAUGUGAAAAUGCAGGGCUCAACUCUGUAUUGCGUUGGAAACUGUAUAACUAGAGUACUGGAGAGGUAAGCGGAACUACAAGUGUAGAGGUGAAAUUCGUAGAUAUUUGUAGGAAUGCCGAUGGGGAAGCCAGCUUACUGGACAGAUACUGACGCUGAAGCGCGAAAGCGUGGGUAGCAAACAGG